GACGAACGCNGGCGGCGUGCUUAACACAUGCAAGUCGAACGAAAAGCGACGGAAGCUUGCUUCUAUCAAUCUUAGUGGCGAACGGGUGAGUAACGCGUAAUCAACCUGCCCUUCAGAGGGGGACAACAGUUGGAAACGACUGCUAAUACCGCAUACGAUCUAAUCUCGGCAUCGAGGAUGGAUGAAAGGUGGCCUCUACAUGUAAGCUAUCACUGAAGGAGGGGAUUGCGUCUGAUUAGCUAGUUGGAGGGGUAACGGCCCACCAAGGCGAUGAUCAGUAGCCGGUCUGAGAGGAUGAACGGCCACAUUGGGACUGAGACACGGCCCAGACUCCUACGGGAGGCAGCAGUGGGGAAUCUUCCGCGAUGGACGAAAGUCUGACGGAGCAACGCCGCGUGAGUGAUGACGGCCUUCGGGUUGUAAAGCUCUGUUAAUCGGGACGAAAGGCCUUCUUGCAAAUAGUNAGAAGGAUGA
Molecule: ribosomal RNA, 474 nt
Filed under: uncultured bacterium
Lineage: Bacteria
Description: bacterial SSU rRNA
Rfam family: Bacterial small subunit ribosomal RNA
Source: RNAcentral